Long non-coding RNA from Pogoniulus pusillus (Red-fronted tinkerbird), 1480 nucleotides. RefSeq lists it as uncharacterized. The record is from RefSeq and is a predicted model, not a curated record. The transcript has 4 exons. Lineage: Eukaryota; Metazoa; Chordata; Aves; Piciformes; Lybiidae.
GGUGUGAGUGUUCCUAGGGGGGGCUGCUUGGAUCAGUUUGUCUCUACAAAGGCCCUAAACAGGAAUGAGAGAGGCAACUGUUGGCAUCACAGAGAAUCAAUUUUGGGUUUCUUUGAUUUAUUUCUUGCAGGGGAUUGUUCUUUCUGGACUUCAUUCUGGCAUUUGUUGAGCUGCUGAAGGAAAAAAAAACUGUGCUCCUUUGCUUGAAGCAAAAGCUCCAACUCGGCAAGCCCAACACAGGUCCCUGAGGGAACAGCUGCCAAGAAGCACUACAGGACCCACCCAGCAAGAAGGCAGCUUGAUGACCUGGUGGUGAAAGGCAAGAGGACCUCAUGGCCCUUGCAGUCUGCAGGGAAAGGGCGAGGAGUGGAGAGGCAAAACAUAUCCUGAGUGCACCUAUGGAAAGCUUUGACCCAGAGAUGACUGUGGAUAAGCUGAGCAUGCCAGGAAAAAGGCUCCCAAGUGAGACUUGCCUGCCCUCAGAUCUACCAGAAUCCAAAGCAAUCACCCAAAACAGUGUCUCUGGAGAAGGUGCUGACACUGCCAAGUGACAUGCUUCAGUGAUGAGAUUGCCAGGCUAGGUUAGGAUUUAACCGUGCAGGCAACAGCUGUGCCUCACCUGAAUCACCUUGGGGAUGCCUGCCCCAUGUCCUUUCCACCACAGUAACUGAAGAGAUACUCUGGCACUUAAAUGAUUCCUAUUCAGAAAGCUCAUAGGGAUAGAAAGGUCUAAGGAGUGGUCUGAGCUGCUCUGUUGUUUUCCAUCAGCUGGAAACCAUAAUCCUUGGUGGGUUCUAGGUUAAGGCUGCCUUGCCUUUGGAUCAUAGGCAGGAGAAGGGCAGUGGCAGAGAGGUGGACAGGGCUUUCUGCAUCCCAGCCUGGAAUUCCUGAUAAUACAGGGUAAGGGAAAUCCACUCCUGUGGAAACAUACCUGCUGCUGCCUCAGCUUGUCAGGGCUUUCCUGGUUGUCUUACACGAGAUCAGCAACAGUCUGAGCACUGGUUUAUGCUUUCUAGUGCUGUCAGGUAGAAAUUCAAACAGCUUUGAGCUUUGUAAAACCACUUAAAGCAUCUGUUGAAUCAGUGCCAACAUGUGGCAGGUCUUGGGGCAGCCCUGGAAGGAGAACGUUCCAGACAUCUGCUGCCUUUUACAGCUUUGCUUUUGCCAGGUGGUGGGAAGAUGUCUGACUUAGAAUUCACAGGGUCACAGAUUGCACUGGAUUGGAAAGGACCCUCGGAAGGUCACCUUGUCCCUCCACCUCCCUGAAGGGAGCAGGGACAUCUCCACCUAGAUCAGGUUGUUCUGGGCCCGAUGAAAUGCAUCUUUGGAUGUAGGUAACUAGGCAGGAAAAAAACAGGCUGUGCUAUGGGGGCUCCCCACGAUCAGAAGUCCACAAAAGGUGUUACAGGUGCAACUAAUGCCGUGAGAGCAGCCAGACAGAGAGGGAUCUGGGGGUGCUGAUUGAUACCCGCCUGAACAU